This 253-nucleotide ribosomal RNA is filed under the name uncultured bacterium. RNAcentral describes it as "partial 16S ribosomal RNA". It matches the Rfam family "Bacterial small subunit ribosomal RNA", at positions 524 to 776 of the family's 1533-position model. The record is from RNAcentral.
GACAGAGGGGUCAAGCGUUGCUCGGAAUCACUGGGCGUAAAGCGCACGUAGGCGGAUUGUUAAGUCAGAGGUGAAAUCCCGGAGCUCAACUUCGGAACUGCCUUUGAUACUGGCAAUCUAGAGUCCGGAAGAGGUUAGUGGAAUUCCCAGUGUAGAGGUGAAAUUCGUAGAUAUCGGGAGGAACACCGGUGGCGAAGGCGGCGACCUGGGUAGAUACUGACGCUGAGGUGCGAAAGCGUGGGGAGCGAACAGG